GAACGCACAUUGCGCUCUCUGGUAUUCCGGAGAGCAUACUUGUUUGAGUAUCAGUAAACACCCUCAGCUCUCCCUUUUCGAACCCUUCUUGUUGCAAGCAAGAGAAAAAGGGUAAAAGUAAGGGAGAAUUGGACUUGAGCAAAAAAAUCCCAACGGGAAACUUUUUUUCCUGGCGGGUUGCUUAAAAUGCAGGUGUGGCUGGACAUUUCUUCUGAGCAAAAAGCAUUACUCAUUUAGUCCGCCUAAAAAACGGAUUAUCACUAUUGCUGCAAGCUUACACAAAGGUUGAAUUUUUUGUCCGCUUUGCGCCAACUGAUGCAAGAGAAAAUAUUGACUCGAUCUCAAAUCAAGUAAGACUACCCGCUGAACUUAAG
This 374-nucleotide unclassified non-coding RNA is filed under the name uncultured Mortierella. RNAcentral's name for it is "sequence contains 5.8S rRNA gene". Lineage: Eukaryota; Fungi; Mortierellomycota; Mortierellomycetes; Mortierellales; Mortierellaceae. The record is from RNAcentral.